RNAcentral lists this non-coding RNA (29 nucleotides) under Mus musculus (house mouse). Lineage: Eukaryota; Metazoa; Chordata; Mammalia; Rodentia; Muridae. The record is from RNAcentral.
UCACCGACGCCAAUGACAAUGCUCCAGUG